This 307-nucleotide long non-coding RNA is filed under the name Vigna radiata. RNAcentral's name for it is "long non-coding RNA (VRAD_LNC000958)". The record is from RNAcentral. Lineage: Eukaryota; Viridiplantae; Streptophyta; Magnoliopsida; Fabales; Fabaceae.
GUCAACUGAACAUUAAAACUAUCAUGAUCGACCACUUAGACACUGUCCGGACUGUAUGAACCAUGUAGCUUGACGUUUCUAGCACCUGGUGUGGUGUAGUAGCUGGCACAACUCAUCAGCUGCCACCCGAGGUUAAUCCUACAACGAUCAUCUGGUCUUAUGACCACGGACCUCCUGUCAUUCCCACGCAUGAAUAACCUUUCUCUACAUGAGAAAGAGUCAUCACGGAAUAUCAAGAUCAAAAUGACAGUAGAGUCUGACCAUGUUCAUACUUUACCAACCAUCACCAAUCUUUGAGACAUUCCUC